RNAcentral lists this long non-coding RNA (363 nucleotides) under Carica papaya (papaya). RNAcentral's name for it is "long non-coding RNA (CPAP_LNC008010)". Lineage: Eukaryota; Viridiplantae; Streptophyta; Magnoliopsida; Brassicales; Caricaceae. The record is from RNAcentral.
AUACAUCUUAGUGCUUCCGAGAUAGAUGACAAACUUUAAGUUACGAGCAUUUGUCAUGAUGUCCCUUUUCAGCUCACUAUCAUAUGGAACACACACCUUAUUCUGAAAUCUAAGCAAUCUAUCGGCAGAUACUCAAAAUUCUGAAUUUACUCCCUAUUCUGCAUCUUUCUUGAGGGCUAUUAGGGUGGAAUCGGCGGAUUGGACUUCUUUUAUUCUCUGAAUCAACUCAAGUUGAACUGUUAGGUGGGUCAAACAUAUAACUCUCUUCAGGUCCUGAAGUCAUACCUGUUGUGCGACCCCUAUUACUCUGCAUUUUGAAACCAUUAGGUGAGUUAAUAUACCUACACUUUUUCUGCUGAGUGC